CGCGUAGGCGGAUCGUUAAGUCAGGGGUGAAAUCCCAGGGCUCAACCCUGGAACUGCCUUUGAUACUGGCGAUCUUGAGUGUGAGAGAGGUAUGUGGAACUCCGAGUGUAGAGGUGAAAUUCGUAGAUAUUCGGAAGAACACCAGUGGCGAAGGCGACAUACUGGCUCAUUACUGACGCUGAGGCGCGAAAGCGUGGGGAGCAAACA
Molecule: ribosomal RNA, 207 nt
Filed under: uncultured Brevundimonas sp.
Lineage: Bacteria; Pseudomonadati; Pseudomonadota; Alphaproteobacteria; Caulobacterales; Caulobacteraceae
Description: partial 16S ribosomal RNA
Rfam family: Bacterial small subunit ribosomal RNA
Source: RNAcentral